Molecule: transfer RNA, 70 nt
Filed under: Ixodes scapularis (black-legged tick)
Lineage: Eukaryota; Metazoa; Arthropoda; Arachnida; Ixodida; Ixodidae
Rfam family: tRNA
About the family: Transfer RNA (tRNA) molecules are approximately 80 nucleotides in length. Their secondary structure includes four short double-helical elements and three loops (D, anti-codon, and T loops).
Source: Rfam by way of RNAcentral
UCCUGGUUAGCUCAGUUGGUAGAGCGCUCCACUGGAAAUGAGGUCCCUGGUUCCAUACCAGGUUUAGGUG